UCCGCCUUCACGCAGUCGAGUUGCAGACUGCGAUCCGAACUGAGACCGGUUUUCAGGGAUCCGCUCCGCGUCGCCGCGUCGCAUCCCGUUGUACCGGCCAUUGUAGCAUGCGUGAAGCCCUGGAGGUAAGGGGCAUGAUGAUCUGACGUCAUCCCCACCUUCCUCCG
Molecule: ribosomal RNA, 167 nt
Filed under: uncultured Actinomycetes bacterium
Lineage: Bacteria; Bacillati; Actinomycetota; Actinomycetes
Description: uncultured actinobacterium partial 16S ribosomal RNA
Source: RNAcentral